GAUGAACGCUGGCGGCGUGCCUAAUACAUGCAAGUCGAGCGAACAGACGAGGAGCUUGCUCCUUUGACGUUAGCGGCGGACGGGUGAGUAACACGUGGGUAACCUACCUAUAAGACUGGGAUAACUUCGGGAAACCGGAGCUAAUACCGGAUAAUAUUUCGAACCGCAUGGUUCGAUAGUGAAAGAUGGCUUUGCUAUCACUUAUAGAUGGACCUGCGCCGUAUUAGCUAGUUGGUAAGGUAACGGCUUACUAAGGCAACGAUACGUAGCCGACCUGAGAGGGUGAUCGGCCACACUGGAACUGAGACACGGUCCAGACUCCUACGGGAGGCAGCAGUAGGGAAUCUUCCGCAAUGGGCGAAAGCCUGACGGAGCAACGCCGCGUGAGUGAUGAAGGUCUUCGGAUCGUAAAACUCUGUUAUUAGGGAAGAACAAACGUGUAAGUAACUGUGCACGUCUUGACGGUACCUAAUCGGAAAGCCACGGCUAACUACGUG
This 497-nucleotide ribosomal RNA is filed under the name uncultured bacterium. Its description in RNAcentral is "partial 16S ribosomal RNA". It matches the Rfam family "Bacterial small subunit ribosomal RNA", at positions 28 to 507 of the family's 1533-position model. The record is from RNAcentral.